Molecule: ribosomal RNA, 464 nt
Filed under: uncultured bacterium
Lineage: Bacteria
Description: partial 16S ribosomal RNA
Rfam family: Bacterial small subunit ribosomal RNA
Source: RNAcentral
CCUACGGGAGGCAGCAGUAGGGAAUCUUCCACAAUGGGCGAAAGCCUGAUGGAGCAACGCCGCGUGGGUGAAGAAGGUCUUCGGAUCGUAAAACCCUGUUGUUAGAGAAGAAAGUGCGUGAGAGUAACUGUUCACGUUUCGACGGUAUCUAACCAGAAAGCCACGGCUAACUACGUGCCAGCAGCCGCGGUAAUACGUAGGUGGCAAGCGUUAUCCGGAUUUAUUGGGCGUAAAGGGAACGCAGGCGGUCUUUUAAGUCUGAUGUGAAAGCCUUCGGCUUAACCGGAGUAGUGCCUUGAAAACUGGGAGACUUGAGUGCAGAAGAGGAGAGUGGAACUCCAGGUGUAGCGGUGAAAGGCGUAGAUAUAUGGAAGAACACCAGUGGCGAAAGCGGCUCUCUGGUCUGUAACUGACGCUGAGGUUCGAAAGCGUGGGUAGCAAACAGGAUUAGAACCCCAGUAGUC